AUUGAAAAAAAAUGUUUAAGGGGACAUUUCUCUCUCCUAAACUUUUUAUGUUCCAUUGAAGACCUGGAAAACAUGUUAAAUAAAAAUGCUUUGCCACAGCUGACCUAUGUCUUCUGGCUUGUACCCCACAACAUCUUAUCUAAUGGGCUACAGAGAAACAAGGAGACGGGAGAGCCUUGAAAUGGACCUUCAAGAUUACAAUGUGUAGCUGACAUUGUCAGUUAAGUUGGGCAGAUCUGACUUCGCUGAUUAAGUGGAUGUAUGAGCCGAUCCUCCCCAGAAGCUGGGAUCAGCUUCCCCAUCUGAUGAGCCAGUCUUGGUGCUCUGUGUUCACCUGGUUCAUCUGAGGAGCUGCAUCUACCCUGCCCAUGCCAUAGAUCCUGCCCUGUUUGCUUCUCCUGUUGCUGCUAGUGGACAUGAGGUAACCACAGCCUAGUUCUGUGAUAAGCUCUUCACACCUGUACCCAUAUGGACUGUGGGAGAGUUUCUCUGAUAUGGACUGUGAUGCGGAAGGACAGAAUAACGGGCUCCCAGAUUCACAAGCCCCACCAAGAGGAUCACCCCAGGAACGCUUGGAGGCUGAGGAGUUCACUGAGGCUACUGCAUCUUGAGACUCAGGAUGAAGACCCAGCUUGGGGCUGUCAAAGGUUUUUUGCAUGUCUGACACCCAUGACUCCACCUGGACCUUAUGGCUCCACCCAGAAGCAAUUCAGCCCAACAGGAGGACAGCUUCAACCCAUUACGAUUUCAUCUCUGCCCCAACCACUCAGCAGCAAGCACCUGUUACCUGUCCACCCCCACCCCUUCCCCCAAACUGCCUUUGAAAAAUCCCUAACCUAUGAGCUUUGAAUAAGAUGAGUACGAACUUCAUCGCCCACGUGGCGUGGCCGGCCUCGUGUCUAUUAAAUUCUUUUUCUACUACAA
This is a long non-coding RNA of Homo sapiens (human), 924 nucleotides long. Ensembl annotates it as Pvt1 oncogene. Its record names the gene PVT1. Lineage: Eukaryota; Metazoa; Chordata; Mammalia; Primates; Hominidae. The record is from Ensembl.